UACGGAGGGUGCAAGCAUUAAUCGGCAUUAUUGGGCGUCACGGGCGCGUAGGCGGAUGUAUAAGUCAGAUGUGAAAUUCCGGACCUCAAUUCCGGAGCUGCAUUUGAAACUGUAUAUCUGGAGGGAUGGCGGAGAAAACGGAAUUCCACGUGUAGCGGUGAAAUGCGUAGAUAUGUGGAAGAACACCUGUGGCGAAAGCGGUUUUCUAGCUAUAACCUGACGCUGAGGCGCGAGAGCAAGGGGAGCAAACAGG
This 253-nucleotide ribosomal RNA is filed under the name uncultured bacterium. RNAcentral's name for it is "partial 16S ribosomal RNA". It matches the Rfam family "Bacterial small subunit ribosomal RNA", at positions 524 to 776 of the family's 1533-position model. The record is from RNAcentral.